GAUUAGUUAAUCAAAUUGCUAAUUGGAAAUAAAUUUAAUCAUCUAGAUCCAGUUCUGACAAACAAUGCAUUAUUUAGUCUUGCUUGGUUAAAAAUGGAUCUUCUCUUCCGGGAAAACUGAGGCAACACAUCCAGAAUUAAUAAUUUUAUAAAGGAUCCUUUCCACUGAAGAGAUGACUCAAAAGCCCUUCCCAAAAAACACAACUUAUACAAUGAGAUCUCUGUAAUUCUGUAGUCCUAAUGACCUAAACAAUAUUAUUAAACAUGUGUACUAUAUAACUGUUAGUAAAUAUAAACAUAGACUAAAGUACAUUAAUGUGACAAUCAAAGAAUUACUUUUAAUGUAAGCAUUAGUAAACAUGGGAAAAGAAGUGUAUUUUGGGGAGUGGGAUGAAGAAAUCUAAAUCUUUAUCUUACAAAUCAAUAGAUACUAUAGAUAUGGAACAGACAUAUGUGAGUGGUGGGCCCACUAUGCUGACCCCCACAUGCUUCCCAAGAAAAAAUUUACCUGCAACCCUGCCUGGUAGGGUAGAGGGGAAAGCUUUUGUGACUCUUAAACAAACCAGUCAGCAUGAGCCAAAGUAAUCUAGAGUUGUCAUGUGCAAUGGAGACUUGAAAGUCUGAUGUCAUCCUGCUGUCAGUCAAAAGUCAAGAGGUGAACCUAGGCCAGGCUUUCUGAAAACUUCCCUAGGACCCCCCAAUAAAACCAGAAGGCUGGAAGAGCAAGCCAUCCUUCUUCUCUCUGAGAGGACCCGCUCUCUUCCUUGAGAGUAUCCCCUUUUCCUAGCCCUUCUCAUAAACUCAUGCUGAUCACUCAGAGUGACAGGUCUCUUUAUGGCUUGAAUGCAAGAAUCCAGAGGUGUUCCCAGCUGACAGUCUCUCAGCAGGCAGGUGCCUUGUAACAUUAUUUACAACUGAAAAAUUAUGAAGCACUACAAUAUGCCUGUUUGAUAAAGAUAGAAACACGAAUUACAGGAAACAGCUUUAAAACAUAAAAUAGUUACUAUAGGAACCAAUAAUUACACAGACAGGACCACGUGAGAGGUUGACUGUAUUGAGUCUUACUGAAUUAUUUAAUCUCAAUCUAUGUAUGCUGAAAUUUGAAUUUUCAUACCAGUUUCAGUGCCCCCAUUCCUCUAAGUGCAUAAAAAAACUAAUCUGAAUCUCUUCAAAGCCAUGCUGGCCUGGCAAGUGGGAUGGAGAAUAUCUGCAGUGAAGACAAGUGAAGGCUCCCAGCUCUGCUCUCUGUCAACAAAAAAGAAAAAAAAAAAAAAACAUCAUGAUUUUAAAUGCAAAGCCUGCACACGCAGGCAUCCAUACAGCACCUUCCUGCUCAUAGACACACGCGAUCUACCCGGAACAUUUGCACAACAGGGCUCUGAGGAGGCGACAGACCAGAAGGUGGAACAGUACGAACUCCGCUUUCAGCUACUGCAACAUCAACUCUAACGUUUGGGGCAAGAACUGUCGUGGAAACAAAGGGGAAAUACUGGGUCAGGGCUGGCACCACACUCCUGCACACUGGGCCCCGGGGUGCACCUCCAGGGCGGGGGCGGAGCUGACGCGCCAGUCCCGCCCCAGCCCAUGUCCUCUAACUGUCCCUUCGCUGCGCCUUUCCAGUCAGGAAGCCGUACGAGGAGAGUCUCACGUCGGAUGCCAGCUGGCUGCCUUCCUGGGCGCCCCACGCUGCGCCAUGCUGCUCCUCCGAAGUGUCCUGGCCCCACGCUGCGCCAUGCUGCCCCUCCGAAGCGUCCUGGCCCGGGCUCUGACCGCACGCACGCUCGCGCCCCAGGUACCGGCCGCCGGGGGGCGCGCCCGAGCUGCAGAGUGGGGCGGGGUGGGGCCAGGGCGGAAGCGGGGCUGGUAAGCGAGUCCCACGCACGCGCGCGCCGGACGCGGCUCUGCCUAGUGGAUAUGGGGCGGCGGCCACGGAGGAAAAGGGAUCCCUUGGGUCAGAGUCGUCUACCCGGUGGACAGAAGUCUUUUCUGGCAUGGGAGCCAAGCAGCCAGCCCCAAAGUCGCUCCCAAAGCACUGGCGGUUGCGAUUUUGCCGCCAGCACCGUGGCGGCUGCGGCUCCGGGAGCUCGCCCUGCUUCGAGGCGGGGCCUUGUAGCCGUCGGCCUCGCGUAGGUGUGGGUUUGACAAGUCUUCGCUCCGUCCACACUAAAGGUGCGGGAGAGGACCACCGACGACUGGCGACCCCACCAGCCUUCACCUUUGAAAGGAAGGCGCAGCUUGCGAGCAUUUUGCCGAGAACCUUGGAGAGUCGGCCAGGGUCCCAGUGUGGGGCACCUUGCCGCCCUCCCUGUGUCCUGCGGUGGUCCCCAAGCCCAGCGGGGGCCUGAGCCUGAGGACCGUAAACGUGACCUGCUUCAGCCUUAGAUGAGAAAGGUCCAAAAAGAAGCCAGGGAUUGGAUCUGAACCGUGGGAAUCGGCUUGUUGUGUGUGGUCCAGUGGAUUUAUCGUCGAGAUUGUAUUCCUUUCCAUGUUUAGGCUUAAAAUUCCUUUCCAAAAACAAUGGAAAAGGAGAAGCAGAUUUUUGUUUUGUUUGUACUGGGGAUUGAACCCACGGUCGCUUUACCGGUGAGGUACAUCCCCAGCCCUUUUAAUUUUUUUGUUUUGAGACAGGGUCCCAUAUAGUUGCUGAGGCUGGCCUGGAUCUUUCUAUCCUCCUGCCUCAGAAUAUGGAGUCGCAGGGAUUACAGGCAUGGGCCACCUUGCCUGGCUAACAAUGCAGUCUCUAUCCUAUUGGUUCUCUCAGGUGGAGCAGGGCCAACAUUUAUUUCCUUACAACUUUUCUGUAAACUUUACAUUUCUACAAAGGUACUCAAUGAAUUGUUAGUCAUUGCUCGCAAGAAUGAGUCCUAACUUAAAGGGAGUAUGAAGCACUGAUGAUUUCUGCCCCAGCAAGGUUUUAGUCCUGCAGCAAAAAUCAGGAAAUGACGUCAUUCCCCAGCCAAGCCCCUUACCCUCAAUGCAGGUUCUCUAACUCUGUGUGUGUAUAUGUGUGUAUAAAUACGUAUAUGUGCACAGACACACACACACACAUACACAUUCUCCUGAGAAAGAUUAUACUUUAGUGUGUGUGUUUGAAUAACUGUUUCCAAAUAGAAAUUCAUUAACCAACCUAAAAUGUGCAGUUCCUUAUGUACUAUUGGUUCAUUUUUGACAUAUUUUAUUUAUCAUAUUUUUUAAACUGUGGACAAAAGUUGUUUGUUCCACUAACAUUCUGUUAUUAUAAUUUGGUUUAAAAGUACAGAAUUUCCACCAAACAAGACCAGCUGCAGUUGUGAUUGAUGGCAAACAGUCAUUUUAGGCAUAUGACUAUAACUCCUAAUAGACAUGAGUGGAAUGAAUUCAAGUGAGAUGUUGAUAUUAACUUUAUAUACAAUUAAAUGAAACCCAUAUGCUAUUGUGUUUUCUAGAUAAAUGUAUCAGAGCAGGGGCUGGGGUUGUGGCUCAGUGGUAGAGUAUUUGCCUAGCAUCUGUGAGGCACUGGUUCGACUUUCAGCACCAUAUAAUAAAGUUUUUUAAAAAAUCAGAGCAAAAAAAAAGGGAUAUACAAAGUUAUAAAUGUCAAUCCUAAUUUGUAGAUUUGUGGGUACCAAAACUGUUUUAAAAUAUUUUUCUGGUGUACAUAGUUCAGGCUAGUGAAACCUACAUAACAUGUAUUUGUAAAUUAGAAUGCCAUAUGAAUGUGCAUAUAUAUGUGUGUGUGUGUGUGUAUGUAUAUAUGUGUAUAUAUUAUACACAUAUAUAUAUAAUAUAUGUGUAUAAUAUACAUAUAUACAUGUAUAUACACAUGUACAUAUAUGUGCCAUAUGAAUGUGCAUAUAUAUAUAUAUAUAUAUAUAUAUACACAUACACACAUAUGUAUGUAUAUAGACAUAUACAUAUACAGGAUAAUUUAUGGCAAGAUGUGCCCUAAUGAAUAUUAAGUUCACUGACAACACGAAUUAGAGAUUUUCAUACUGAGCAUAUUACUAUUACAAAAGGAACUACUGGCUCUUAGGGGAUGUGUCCAUCAAACUGGUAUGACUGAUGCAUUAAAUGUGCUUCAUUUUGCAUCUGUCAUUAGAAACUAAUAAUGAGUCAUACAAUUCAUCUUGAAUUUUUCUUCUUCAGCAUUCAUACAGCCCACCACUAUAUUACCAUUAAUUGAAUAACACAUAGCACCUUCUACAUUUUUGACCAAUGGUUUAAUUCACUGAAUGUAGCAAAUACUUUGACCUAAAUAGCAAUUUCUAUUUUUUUUUUUUUUUUGGUGGGGGGUACCAGGGAUUGAACUCAGGAGCACUCAACCAUUGAGCCACAUCCCCAGCCCUAUUUUGUAUUAUUUACAGACAGGGUCUCAUUGAGUUGCUUAGCACCUCACUUGCUGAGUCUGGUUUUGAACUCACCAUCUUCCUGCCUCAGCUUCCCCAAGCUACUGGGAUUACAGACGUGUGGCAGUUUCCACUUUUUAAAAGGUCUUCUAGUAAACAUUUCAUUGUGCCUGCCAAAUGACAUACAUACUGAAUUUACAAAGUUCUUUCAGAUGCAUAACUAGCACAUAUACUACCAAGUAAAAAUUGAAUAUUGGCCAAGUAAGGAAAACUGUAAAUUUAUGCGAAUUUCAAUUGUAGUUCUCCAGUACAGAAGUAUCAUUGAUACCAAUGCCUUCAUAUAAGCAAUUUCUCAUGGAAAAGUGGCUAAGUUUGUGAACUCUUGCCAGGAAAGAGUAGCUGUAUGUUCUGCUUGUUUUGUAACAUGAUACAUCCUACCUUUCCCAAAAUCUUUAAAUUUGCCUUAUCUUUCUUCAGGUGUGCUCAUCUUUUGCUACAGGCCCCAGACAAAAUGAUGGAAUGUUCUAUGAAUUUCGUACCUAUGCUCUUAAACCCUCAAAGGUGAAUGAGUUCCUAGAAAACUUCAAGAAAAAUGUGCAUCUUCGGACAGCUCACUCUGAAUUGGUUGGAUAUUGGAGUGUAGAAUUUGGAGGCAGAAUAAAUAAAGUGUUUCACAUUUGGAAGUAUGGUAUGAAUCAUCCUGGUUAAGUGUUCAGUACAGAUUUUCAUUGCAUUCCAUGUUACAUGAGUAUAAGACUUAGUUCUUGGAUUUAUAUUACUAGCGAUACAUACAGGUUAAGUAAAUCUUUUAAAAUAUAUGACACCUUUAUGUGUGUGUGUGUGUGUGUGUGUAUUUAGUGAUUAAUUCUUCCAUUGGUCCAUCUCUAACAACCUCUGGCUCAAAUUCUUCAGUUAUUAUGAAUGAGAACUUGUUGUGUCAUAAAUCAUAAUAUGGUAAACUUCUAUUCUCAUAAAAAAAUGGAAUGGUUUAUUUGAUCAGUGCCCAAAUUAAUAUUCAUAAAAUAUUUUAUUAUAAAAAUAUAUUCAUUCUACACUUAUCAUGGGCACAGUAUAGGAUUUUUACCUAUUGUAAUAGAACAAGCCCCAUUAAAACACAACUUGUGCUUUAGAUGUGCUACAAGUUAAAUCAUGGCCCACUAAGAAAACUAAUGAAGUCCUGAUCUACCUCACUUAAGCUGUGAGAUAGAUGUUAUUUCUUAUCACCAUCAUAAACCAUAUAAAACUCUUAUCAUUAGUCUUAUAAGGUUUUCAUAGUAAAUACAGUACUAGGCCCAUAUGUGGGUAAACGUCGAUACCUGUUGGAAUAACUCAGAAGAAAAAUAAGUGCUGGCGGGGGGAGGAAAUGGCUGGUAAUAAGUAAGAGAAUCAACACUAUUUCUUUGAAGGCUCUUUGUUCAAAGGAGAAGAGACUCACCAAAUACAUUUUAAUUUCAUUUAUUGUAAUUUGAUUCAAGGUGUACCUUGACCUGAGCACCUGCCACCAUGAAAGAAAAAUCUUCUUUCUCUGAACUAGCACUAUCAGUUAAAUGCCUCAGUUGAAUUAAUAAGAAUAUUCCACAAAUAUUGAAAUUAACUAGAUGCUAAACAUUGUUCUAAGCUCUUUUUGUGUAUUAAUUCAGUUAACCUUCAUAACAAGCCUGGAGAACAAUGUUGCAUUCUCUCCAUUACACAGACUAAGAAACUGAAUGCAGAAGGAUACAAAAACUUCCUCCUGCAAAGUCAUAGAACCUAUGAAGUCAAUUCUGUGACAUUACACUAGUCAUUUGCAAUUCUAUUCCCCGUAAGCCCAUGAGCAAUUUGAGUACAGAUGUCACAUCUCCUUAUGUUAGUAUAUCCAAAAGCAUAACAGUGUUCCUCUAUGCUACAGGUGAAUGUUUGAAGAUUUGGAUGAAAUCCAGAGAAGCAUAGGAGAUUUUAAGUUGUAAAUGUUUCUUUUUCUUAAUUCUUGUCUCCCCUAGAUAAUUUUGCUCAUCGAACUGCAGUUCGGAAAGCCUUGGCUAAAGAUAAGGAAUGGCAAGAACAAUUCCUCAUUCCAAAUUUGGCUCUCAUUGAUAAGCAAGAGAGUGAGAUUACUUACCUGGUGCCAUGGUGCAAAUUAGAAAAGCCUCCAAAAGAGGGUAAGUCAUCUUCCUUCUUCACCACUUGGAAUUUAGAUGAAUGAAAUACUAAAGAUUUUAAGUGAUAAAAGGUGAAGUUCCAUUAGCAAACAAGGAAGCUAAUUCUUUAUUUUAUGGUAACAUACUUUGAUUGUUGAGAUAAAAUUAAAUUAUGCCUUUUUGUUUAUUCUUAAAAUAUGAGUAUUAAGAUUUUUUUCCAAAUUGAGAUUUUUGUUGAUUGGUAAAUUUAGUUACACUGUAGAAGAUUGAUGUAGCUGCUAAAGUUUAAGAAAUUUCACUUUGGGGGCAGGUAAUAAGGAAUAGUAUAUGAAGUUUUGUUAUAAUUUCAAAGUAAUAAAACAUUUAAAUGUAAAAAAAAUAUAUUCAAUAGCUGGGAAUGGUGGUGCACAACCAAUAAUCCUUAGCUACUUGAGAGGCUGAGGUAGGAGGAUCCCAAAUUGAAAUCCAGCCUGGCAAUUUGACUGUCACUGUCUCAUAGUAAAAUUUAGAAAGGGCUGGGCUAUAUAUAGCUCAGUGGGAUAGCACUUGCCUAUCAUGUGUGAGGCCCCAGAUGGAAUCCCAGUAUUGCAAAAAAUAUUUUUUCACAAAUUACAACUAAUCUUAAAUCAUUAAGUAUAUCUUUGUUCAUAAAAUUGACUGGGGAGAAUGUAUUUACUGAAACUGCCAAGCUGUAUUAGUGUAGUCUAACUUUUGUGUCAAGAAAGUUUCUCAGCCAAUCCCUAAAAAACAAAUGCCAAAUGUCUUCUCUGAUAUAAGGGAGGUGACUCAAAAUGGGGUUGGGAGGAAGAGCAUGAGAAGAAAAUUACCUCUAGAUAAGGAAGAGAGGUAGGAGGGAAAGGGAGGGAGAAGGGGAAUUGCACGGAAGAUGGAAGGAGACCCUCAUCGUUAUACAAAAUACAUGUAUGAUGAUGUGAGGGGUAAAAAAAAAGAAGUGUGUCACAUUAGAUUGGGUAGACAGAAGUGAUGGGAGGGGAGGGGAAGGGAAAGGGGAUAGGAAGGGCAGCAGAAUAAAAUAGACACUAGUAUUGCUGUAUGUAUAUACGUGUCUGUAUAACCAAUGUGAUUCUGCAACCUAUACUCUCAGAAAAAUGAGAAAUUGUAUCCCAUUUGAUUCAAAUGUAUGAUAUGUCAAGAUCAUUGUAUUGUCAUGUGCAACUAAUAAAAAAAGAAAAAAAAAGAAAGUUUCUCAGUUUGAAAAUAAUUCCUUAAGAUGUCUUCAUGCUGCUUUUACUUCUUACUGAUUUAAAGAAACUAUUACCUCAAUCUACUUUUAAACAAAGGUCAGAUUAGAAAAGCAUAAACUAACUUAAAUUUCUUAUUAUUUUCUAUAUUAUUGCCAACUUGUAGUGUAUUUUAUAUUAUAAGAAAUUUGAAACAUCUAUUGGGAUUCUUAUUCACUUAUAUUUCCCCUCUGGUUUCAGUACUAUCUAAAAAUAGUUGUCUUCUGUAGUACUGUCAAAUUUUAGUUAACUUUCUCUGUAUUGUUCAUAAUUCUUUAGUAACUCUGGAAUUUUUUUCCUUCUAUUGUCUGAUCUUCUCAUUCCCUAUUUUCUUUGUCUCUAUCCUCUCUAUACUUGUGACUAUAGGUAUAAAACUUUUCAAUAUUAUAUGGAUAUUUAGGAAUCAUAAAAUCCUCUUUCAGACUUUUUCUCCCCCCAAUCCCUAAAAAACAAAUGCCGAAUGUCUUCUCUGAUAUGACUUCAGGUCAACCAUUUGCUUGCUAAUUCCUGUUAAAAUGGAAUUCUGUAAUGGAAAAAUAUACAAAGAAUAAAAUAUCUGCUCUCCAAAUUAAAAAGAGGGAAACAUAGGAGAUCACAAAAUACUUCUUUUGUCAAUUUAUUUUCUUAUAGACUUGAGAAACUCAAAAUUUGACUUCAUUAUAAAUUCUCAAUAUCUGUUGCAUCAACAAAGUUUUAUAGAUUAAAAAUAUUUUAGAUAAUAGCUUUGUAUAUAGUUUCUGGUCUUUUUUUCCUUUUCUUCUCUUUGAUUAAACUUAACAAGUGGCCCUUAAACAUGGACAAGAACUUUCUAAACAUGAAAGCAAGGAAAAAUAAUGCAAAGAAUUAAUUAAUAUGACAUAAAUAUAUGUUUAUAUAGGUUAUGUAGAUGUAUAUAUGUUAGUCCUUCACUACUGGAAUCAAGCACAACUGAUUAAAAAUUAUUUCAAGAUCCUCUGUAAAAUAAUUAUUUUUUUCCCUAUUUUAGGAGUCUAUGAGCUGGCUACUUUUCAGAUGAAACCUGGUGGCCCAGCUCUGUGGGGUGAUGCAUUUAAAAGGGCAAUUAAUGCCCAUGUUGAUAGAGGCUACACAAGACUAAUUGGUGUUUUCCACACAGAAUAUGGAACACUCAACAGAGGUACAUGUCUUCUAUGGAGGUGUAAUGUACAUUGGUGAUCUAUGUUUCUUCUGUUGGUUUAAAAUUUAUAAACUGGAAGGAUCCUUAAGAAAAUACUAUUUUUGUCUUUUUUUCUCAAAAUAUAUUUUUCUUGAUUUUUUUUCAAAAUAACAUUACUUAGUUUAGAGAGAUUUUUUUGAAUGAAAAUUUAAUAAAUACGUUUACAAAUGCUAAACACAUGGAGAAGCCCAAAGGAAAAAAAUUACUCAUUUCCCAUUAUUUCAAAAUAAUGCAUACAUAUCAGGAAUGUAAAAACCAAAAUGUUAUCAGAUAUAAGAAGGAUAGAAACAAUGUAUAUCUAUGACUGGUAAUAACUUCAUAACAUUGUAGCAUGGAUGGAUAGAUGAUAGAUGGAUGCAUGGAUGGAUAGAUAAAUAGAUAGAAAAAUAGAUAUAAAGAAACAAAUUUUAAUAAAGCAUAUCUGGAGCAUUUAACUCUUAAAGCUGAAUAUAAUUUCAGUGAAAAUUUCAGAGAGGUUUUUCUGUGGCUAACUCUAAAAUAUCUGUGUAAAGUUCACCCAUUGGAUAGAAGAUUAAGAAGAGCUAAUAAAAUAUUUGAAAGAUCCAUUGUAUCCAAUUGCCUUCUCUACUUUUCACUUGAAUGUUCAAUAGAUAUCUCAGGCCUACCCCAAUCAAAGCUGAGCUCCUGAUCUUUACCCAGAAAUUGCCUAGUCAUAUGUCCAAAGAAACUAACCAGAAUAUAUUUUUAAAAAUGUAUUUUUAAGAUGAGGAAUAUAUGAAGAAGAUAAGAAUUGUGAAUAUUAUUAGAUUUCUAUCUCCCACCAUGUAUUAAAAUGAAAGUAAAUUAAAAUGGAAUGUAGAUUCAAUGUAAAAGUCAGAAUUGUUAAAAUAAAAUAUCAAUUAAUUUUGGUAAUAAUACGGAUGGAGACUAUAUUUCUAAGCCAAAACGUAAAUGAAAAAACUAUGUAAGAGGAAAAAUAUCAACUUGAUGCCUUUAUUAUACAAAGGCCUAAACUUUCCACAUGCUCCAUAUCAGCAUGAGUAAAAUUCAAAAGCAAAAAGGAAAAUAAAAAUUUACAUCAAGGUAGACAUACAAGUAACAACCACCUAUAUGUUAAAGAAAAUGCAGAUUAAGACAUACCGAGAUGUCACAUUUUAAUUAAUGUGCUUAUAUGGAUAUACUAUUUGGUCAGGAAAAAAUAAGUAUUCAUAUUUUGUACAAAUUCAUAUUAAUCAUAAUUAAUCUUAAUGACAUUUGUAUUAUAGAUAUACAUGUAGGUACUGCUCUAAUGAGGUUUAUGCCAGCUUUGUUUAUAGUAGAAAAAUACUGGAAAUAACACGGUUUGACCCUGUUUAUGUAAUAAAUAAACUCAUAAUUCUUAACUAGAAAUAUAUAUAAAUUAUGUAUAUAUAUAUGGUGUAGAUACAGAAACAUAAAUAUUAAGUGCAUAUAUACAUAUAAAUAUGUAAAGAAUAUGCCAAAUAGAAAAGUGGUUGUUUCAGAGUGGUAGGAUUAAAUAUGUUUGUUAUGAUCUUCUUUUAUUUUCCAAAAGCUAUAUAACUAUUAUAGUAAAUUUUAAUGAUAAAAGCAGGCAUGAUGAUGCACGCCUGUAAUCCUAACAACUCUGGAGGCUGAAACAGGAAGAUUACAAGUUCAAAGCCAGCCUCAGCAAUGGUAGGGCAUUAAGCAACUCAUUGUAAAGUUCAUCCACCAUUUCUCUAAAUAAAAUAAAAAAUAGGGCUGGGGAUGUGGCUCAGUGGUCAAGUGCCUCUGAGUUCAAUCCUGAGUAGCAAAGAAAAAAGAAAUUUUUAAUUAUAAAAAACUAUAAGUAAUAAUGUACAAAAAAAACCCAUUUAUUUUAGCAUUUUGUAGAAUACUACAAUGUUGAGAAUUUAAAAAUCAACAAUAAGAAGUUGGGAGAAAAGAUUGUGUAGAAUACUGCAAUAUUGAGAAUAAUCUAAAUAAUCAACAAUUGAAAUUGGAGUAAAAAAAGAUGUUAUAAGAAGAAAUUUAUAUAGUCAUUGAAAAUAAUAUUAACAUUACAUGGUAUGCCAUUAAUGUAUACAUUUUCAUGUUUUUAUGUAGCAGGCAAAAUUUAUUUUUUUAAAUUAAUAUCAUUGACAGAAAGUUAUCAUAUUAUUGCUGGUUGUGGUGACACAGACUUAUAAUCUCAGUGAUUUUGAGGAGGCUUAGGCAGGAAUAUUGAAGUUUGAGGACAGAAUCAGCAACUUAGGGAGAUCCUGUCUUAAAAAAAAAAAAGUGGGACUGGGGCUGUAGCUCAGCAGUAGAGCGCCUGCCUUGCACGUGUGAGGCACUGGGUUUGAUCCUCAGCACCAUAUAAAAAUAAAUAAAGAUAUAAAAAAAAUUUUCAACAAUUAAAAAAAAUUAAAAAGGGUUAGGGAUAUAGCUCAUGGGUUCAAUUCCCAGUACCACCAUUUUUUAAAAGGAAUUUCACUAUAUAUUAACAGAGGUUUAUCUAGAUAGUUAAGAUGAUUCUAGUUUUUAGUUUUCUUCUUUGUAUAUAAAUUUUCUACAGCAUGCACAAUUGUCUAUGAUCUAUUAUUUAGAACUAUUAUAGAGAAACUAAUGUAAAACUACUGUGUGGUUUAUUUCUGCAGUUCAUGUUCUGUGGUGGAAUGAGAGUGCAGAUAGUCGUGCAGCUGGGAGGCAUCAGUCUCAUGAGGAUCCCAGGGUCGUGGCAGCUGGUAAGCUAUUUCACUAGGCAUGGGUUAUUUUUACAACAAACUUGAUUUGCUCAAUAACUUUAUAUGCCUUCUUAUGAAAUGUUUUCCAGUUCGGGAAAGUGUCAACUACCUAGUGUCUCAGCAGAAUAUGCUUCUGAUUCCUGCAUCAUUUUCACCAUUGAAAUAGUUUUCUACUGAAACACAAAAGAUUUCAUUAAUUGGCCUAAGAUGUGUCUGCUAAUGGUGCUUAAGUUCUUCCAAGAGAAUUAUUCUCACUUUUAUUUUAAUGAGGUGGUAAGUUAAUUUACUAUGUUCCUUGCAUUUUUUUAAAGCCAACUCUGUCAUCUAUUUAUCACCACUUAAGGAAAUAGUUCUAUUCAUUUUCUCCAUGAUGUGUCGGUGUUUGUUAUAUGUGAGACAUAGUUGUCACUACUUCAUGAUCUUGAUUUUUUCACUUGAUUCAGAAUAUCUUCUGUAUUUUGAAAGCCCUUUGCUUUAUAAUAUUUUCUCAAAUUCAAAUAAUGAUUUACAUUUCCUCGUCUGACAAUAUUUUUAAAUUAAGUACAUAUAAUAUAUCUAUCUUUUCAUGUUUGUUUUUUCUGAUAUCUAAAACUAUAUUUUUACCCAGUAAAGUUUACUUUGUGAUAUUAAAUGGGAUUGACAAAAAUAUUAAAUUAAAUAUAUUUCUUUACUUUGGAAAAGUACAGUAUCAUAUGUGUCAUCUGUAUUAACUGUGGGCUUCACAUUAAUUAUUAGGUCAUUCUAGAAAAUAAUAUAAUUAGCUCACAUUAUUACAGUUUCAAGGAAGACUUGGUUUAUAUGCUGAAAUAUGUUCAUUUAUAAUUAAUUUUACUAAUUUUUACUUACCUUGUGUCACAAAGA
RNAcentral lists this long non-coding RNA (12383 nucleotides) under Marmota monax (woodchuck). The stretch from base 11085 to 11153 matches the Rfam family "tRNA". Lineage: Eukaryota; Metazoa; Chordata; Mammalia; Rodentia; Sciuridae. The record is from RNAcentral.